RNAcentral lists this ribosomal RNA (440 nucleotides) under uncultured bacterium. RNAcentral describes it as "partial 16S ribosomal RNA". It matches the Rfam family "Bacterial small subunit ribosomal RNA", at positions 338 to 795 of the family's 1533-position model. The record is from RNAcentral.
CCUACGGGGGACAGCAGUGGGGGAUAUUGCACAAUGGGGGAAACCCUGAUGCAGCGACGCCGCGUGGGUGAAGAAGCGCCUCGGCGCGUAAAGCCCUUUCAGCAGGGAAGAAAAUGACGGUACCUGAAGAAGAAGCCCCGGCUAACUACGUGCCAGAAGCCGCGGUAAUACGUAGGGGGCAAGCGUUAUCCGGAUUUACUGGGUGUAAAGGGGUCGCAGACGGCGAUGCAAGCCAGGAGUGAAAGCACGGGGCCCAACCCCGGGACUGCACUUGGAACUGCGUGGCUAGAGUGCAGGAGGGGCAGGCGGAAUUCCUGGUGUAGCGGUGAAAUGCGUAGAUAGCAGGAGGAACACCGAUGGCGAAGGCAGCCUGCUGGACUGCAACUGACGUUGAGGCCCGAAAGCGUGGGGAGCAAACAGGAUUAGAUACCCGAGUAGUC